RNAcentral lists this ribosomal RNA (301 nucleotides) under uncultured bacterium. RNAcentral describes it as "partial 16S ribosomal RNA". It matches the Rfam family "Bacterial small subunit ribosomal RNA", at positions 509 to 807 of the family's 1533-position model. The record is from RNAcentral.
CAGCCGCCACGGUAAUACGAGGGGUGCAAGCGUUAUUCGGAUUGAUUGGGUGUAAAGGGUGUGCAGACGGCUUAUUAAGUCACUUGUUAAAUUCUUCGGCCUAACUGAAGGUCUGCAAGUGAUACUGAUGAGCUAGAGGGUGGAAGAGAGAAGUGGAAUUCUCGGAGCAGCGGUAAAAUGCGUAGAUCUCGAGAGGAACACCAAUGGCGAAGGCAGCUUCUUGGUCCAUUCCUGACGUUCAUACACGAAAGCGUGGGGAGCAAACAGGAUUAGAUACCCCCGUAGUCCCUGUCUCUUAUAC